GAAAAGAAAGCCAGGGGAGCCGCGGGUCCCGCCGGACACGCUGAGGACAGCUAGAGGUUCGCGCAGCAGCGGCUGCACCGAGAUCCCAAGCACGUUGUUUUCGUUUGGGAAAGGAUUUUUAUAUGGUUUGCUCUUUCCCUUUUAGUUCUUGGACGAUUUUCAUACACGUGUAUGAUGAAUUUUAGUCACUUCCUCCUCGUUACCCUCUCUCCUUUUCUGUCUCCUUUUCUGUCUUCCUUGUGUCUGGGUUGCGGGUGGGUCGGGGGCCCUCACCGAGUUUAGUAAGGGUUGCUUGCACGAGCACGAUGGAGGCUGAAGUCCCCGGAUUUCAUGACCUGGAUUCUGUAUUGUUUGGGUGUGACCUCCUCCAUCUACUGCCUCCAGCCCUUCUGCCCGCGUAUUCCUGCUCGCACUUUAAGGACUCAGGCAUUAUGCUUGCCUGUCCCCGUCACCUGGCAGAAUGCACUCGGGCAGUACCCGGGUCAGCCCAGGGGUCCGUGGUUGCGAAGUCUGCACGCAGGUGCAAAGGACCCCCUUUAAAAGAGAGAGACACACCCCCACCCCACCCCGCCCUCUUAUGCUCUCUUUCAGGCUCUCUUUCCCGCUGCUCCCUUGGGGCAGACAGGACUUUUCCUGUCUCCCUCUUCUCUUCUGUUCUCUCUCUGCCUCUGUGUCUCUUUUCUCUUUCCUCCGCCCCCCCUCCUUUCCCUUUCUAAUCUCACUUAAACUCUGCCUGCCUGGCAUGUUUGUCCCUCGCCUGCCAAGGUUCCCCACACAUUAUCAUAACACGCACUGUCUUGUCAAAUGCACCUUGUUACCUCGUCAGUCCAUUUCUUUAACUAGCCCCCAGUCCCCUUUCUGGUUUGAUAACCAACACUCAAAAGCAUCUAACUACGUACACAAGCUAAGAUCCACGUUCAAGAGUGAAUGGGUUAUCUGUCUUAAUACUUCACGGUUACCCCCCACUUACUAUAAUAAUUUCCAGAUUCAUCCUUUUUCCUUCCAAUUUCAUUUUAUCUUAGUAAUGAACAAAUAGCUUUUCUUUUUUUUCUUUAAUGGGCUUGGGAGGAACAUUCGUAAACCACUUGUACUUUCUGGUUGCCCUCUGGUGUGGGUGUGGCUUUUCUGGGUUUUUAGCCAAGGUUUACAAGCUGCACUUCUUGUGGGUAUCUCUGAUCUCGAAGCACAUUGUAAAGCGGGGUGUGGCUCUACUUCCUGUAACUGGUGAGUGAAAUGUAGCUGGAGAGAGAUGGCUCAGUAGUUAAGGUUACAUACAGAGGACCUGAGUUUGGUUCCUAGCACAUAUGACAGACAACUCAAAACCACCAGCAACUCGAGCUCCAGGGAAUCCAACACAGCCUUCUGACCUUCCUGGCCACCUGCAAAAUCCAUAGGCACACACCCAAGAAGGAGAGAAAGAAUCUGGGUCUUCUAUGGUUAACCACUGAGUAUGAGGUGUAGCUGACCUGCAACAUCCUGGGGAGUCCUGUCUUCACUUCCAUCUUGUCAAUGGCAUCCUGGUGUCUGAGCUUUUACAUGGUCUCAGGAGAAGCCGUUCUGGAGCAAGCCACUUGAGAGGGAUAGUCCUGAUGCGAGCCGAGGAGAUGGCCCCUUGGCCUCCCUACUGCUCACCCUGCGACAGGUCCAGAGAAAGCUGAGCAGAUCUCCGGGGACCACAUCCUCCAGCACCAUGUACAGGGGCAGCCUUUCUGUGCAGCAUCCUUCCAGCUGUACCAGGUUCUUCUGUUUCCCCAGGUAUUGAUAGAAUUGGAUUCGCCCUAUGAAAUCCUGGACCUCCUGGAGUCCAGUAGGUUCUAUGAAAAACAGAAGAACCAGAGCCAGGUCAGUGAAUGGUCAAGUGCAGCCAAUGAGUGGGAGGCAAGGAGCAAAGGGCAUGUACAGAUGGUGUUGUUCAAGUCCCCUUGUGAGAGAGGGACCAAAAGUGAAGAAAUGCAGCUAGAAAGGGGGCAGAAGGGAGACCAUGUAAAAGAGAGUGAUACUCAGUCAACGAUGCUUUCACAGAAAUAAUACAGUCAAGGGUCUUAGACCUGGACAGAUUUUCACCUGCCUGAAUAGACAGUGCUUUGCAUUACAUCACUGUCUGGACCUUGGCAUGGACACUUUUGUUUAUGUUAGCCCUUCCUUGUUUUAUUUUCUAUGCAUCCAGAGAGAAAGAGGAAGAAAGGAAAGAGACACAAUAUCAAGGAAGGGUGUAAGGACCUGAGAGAUGGUGAAAGCCAGUGACUGGUGACAUAGAAGCCUGAUGACUUUUCAGUCACUGGAACCCAAAAUGGAAGGAAAGAACCAACACCAGAAAGUUAACUUCUGACCUCACACUUGUGCAGCACACACCUGCACUCACACAUACAUACCAUGUACACACACACACACACACACACACACACACAUACACACACACUAAAUUAAUUUAAAAAGAAAUCAGACAUUAAAAAAAAAUCUCAUAAUCCUAUGACAAACAGCAAAGUAGCAUCCACUAUGGAAAGGUCCACUUUACUGGCAUCAGUUGGCAAGGGUUAGGUAGAGAUCUAAAGACCCAAGGAGAACAACUCUGCAUCAAGCUUCCCUGUACACAAUAAGCGUAUCUGCUGAUACAUACAUAUCUUAAUGUUUGCAGUUCCUGUUACUAUUAUUUCCAGGUACAGGCUCAGAGCAGAGAAGUAAAAAGGAUAGGAGUUGAUCUUCGUACUUUACCUUCUAAAACCUUGAGGACAACACUCUUUGGCUUGGGGUCGCCUCUGGUGGUCAUCAUGGCGUGAUAGAGGGUCCCACAACUGCCACUGUGGAUCUUUCCCAGAACAUCUGAGAGUUGUUCCCUGGGCACCUGAAGCUUAGCCAACUGAGGUGUGGCUGCUUGUAGAAAACUCUCCACAGAGGAGGUCUCCUUAAGUGGCAGGAGCACUUUUUCUCCUUGACCUGCUCCCUCCUGCCUUAGGUCACUAGAUGCAGCUGCAGAGGCAGUACCUAGAACAAAGAGAUGAUGUCCACCAUCUGUCCCCUGCCCUGGGGACACUGGAAAGGCAGACUUAACAAACUAAUCAGUCAGAUUUUUCAGUGACUAACACAAGGGCAUCUUCUGGUACUUCUCAGUGAAUGAGUGUCAACACUGAGCUCCUACAACAGUCACAAGAAUUCCAUUACUUGUAGGAAAACUAAAGAUGAAGCCCUCGAAAUUGGUCGUGUUUCUUUUUUAUCAUCCUUGGGAUUACCUUCAGUGCCCCCAUGGAUGUAGCACAGAGGCAGGACAGUUCUGAAAAGGAAUUCAUACCAUAGGUACCAAAAGGUAGUGUCACUGUCUUAAGUCAGUCACAUGACUUUCAAGAUUGAAGGAGGGGUAUAGGUAGACACUCAACCGUCAGCUGUAGCUUUUCUUUCUUCAGGUGAAAUCAUUCUAUAUUUCCAUAUUUCCAUGACUCUUAGUCAAAAGGUCUCCUGAGACUAGCUCCCAUCUGUAGCUACCUUUCCAGUUGGCCAAAAAAAAAAAAAGUUUCUUUCUUAAAUUUCCAAUCAUUUCUUAACCAGUCUGUCUGUUCAGUAUCACCGUAUACCAUACACUGUCUGUGAGUUGAGGAUAGGCACAGUUCAUAUCUGCCUAAGAUUAGUUUCUAAUCAUAGGACAUUAUGAAUGGAUGAGGCAAAAAAAAGAAUGGAUGAGGCAGUAUUAUGGAAGAAAAUAGCCAAAGGAGAUCCUACUUUAUCUAUAGAAGUCAAAGAAAGGCCUUUCAGAUAUGGCGGUGUUUAAUAAAGAUCUAGAAGCAUUUACAGAGCAAACCAGGAUGACACUGUAGUAGAUGGAACAAGAUGAAUGAAGGCACCAAGAGAAGAGUGCACAUGGGGUGUUCAAGGAGAAGCAAGGAAGGCCUUGCAGAUGGAAGCCAAGUUGGGUGGGUAGAGAGAUGUGGGAGGCCAGAGAGUCCAGAUCAUACAGGCCAUGGGAAGACCCUUGCUAUUUUCCAUUCUGUAGAACACAACAAGCUAUUGGAGGGUCUUAAACAAUAUGAACUGAGGCCAAUCAAGGCACUCAUGAAUCAUUUUGCGUUGGCAAGGUGGAACUAGAUCAAUGUAGUAUUAAAGGCAAUUAUAGAGAAAAUCAUUGGGAGUUCAAGAAGCAAAUGGCUUGCAUUUAUAGUUUGUAAGAUCUGAUUAUGGAUUGGACCUACUGAAAUCUUGGCCUACAGUUUCCUUAAAAUCCAUCUUGUCUGAGUCUGUACCUAUCCACAGGGUUUGAGACUUACUCCGAGGUCCAGGGCGCUGCCUUUGAGAUCUCUGUCCUCUGAUAAAUAGCCAUAGGAUGAUUGCAAGAAGGAUGAGGAAGCCACCAACCAGGAGAGCUGGAACAAUGAUGACUUCAUACUGUUGCUCCUGAACAACUGUUUAAGCCAUAAACAGAAAGAGAAAUAAGAAGCCUGCAAAUUUCCCCUACCCAUCAUAUCUCAGUGCUCCUCGUAUCCCCUGGUCCCCUUCAAUGGAGGCCCAUGGAGGGCAACCCUGCAUCUUAGACCAAUGAGUUCUUCUAUUCUGAUCUCUGACUGGCUUGUAGCCCCCACUGCAAAAAAAAAGUGAUGCUUGCUAGAAAUAAAAUCAGCUCUCCUCCUCCAGAA
Cricetulus griseus (Chinese hamster) is the source of this 4619-nucleotide non-coding RNA. NCBI's taxonomy places the organism in Eukaryota, Metazoa, Chordata, Mammalia, Rodentia, Cricetidae. The record is from RefSeq and is a predicted model, not a curated record.